GAUGAAGAACGUAGCGAAAUGCGAUAAGUAGUGUGAAUUGCAGAAUUCAGUGAAUCAUCGAAUCUUUGAACGCACAUUGCGCCCUUUGGUAUUCCUUAGGGCAUGCCUGUUCGAGCGUCAUUUAAAAAUUCAAGCUCAGCUUGGUGAUGUGUGCCUGUCCCACCUUUGCGUGCGGACUCGCCUCAAAUGCAGUUGGCAGCUUAUCCUCCGGCUCUAAACGCAGCAGAUUUGCGUCGAAGCGCCGUCGGGACGGGCUCUCCAGUAAGCAAACCCCCCCAAGAUUGACCUCGGAUCAGGCAGGGAUACCCGCUGAACUUAAGCAUAUCAAUAAGCGGAGGA
This 339-nucleotide unclassified non-coding RNA is filed under the name soil metagenome. Its description in RNAcentral is "partial contains 5.8S ribosomal RNA, internal transcribed spacer 2, and large subunit ribosomal RNA". The stretch from base 1 to 120 matches the Rfam family "5.8S ribosomal RNA", at positions 35 to 154 of the family's 154-position model. The record is from RNAcentral.